AUGCGCGCCGUCCAGUACAGUGGCUACGGUGGCGGCAGCGCUGCCCUCAAGUAUGUGGAGAUCCCUGUUCCAUCACUGAAAAAAGGUGAAGUUCUUAUAAAAGUUGAAGCAGCAAGCAUCAAUCCAGCCGAUUGUCGGAUACAGAAGGGACUGCUACGUCCUUUUGUCCCUAAAUUUCCAUUCAUUCCAGUAACCGACGUUGCUGGAGAGAUUGUUGAGAUUGGUUCUGCGGUUCAAGAGUUCAAAGUUGGCGACAAAGUUGUUUCCAAGUUGAUAUUCUGGAAAGCUGGUGGCCUCGCAGAGUACGUGGCGGCAUCGGAGAGCAUCACCGCCCCCCUCCCUACCGGCGUGUCCUCUGCGGAUGCCGCAGGGCUCCCCGUGGCCGGCCUCACGGCGCUUCAGGCCGUGAAGGCCAUUGGCACCAAGUUCGACGGCACGGGCGUCGGCAGCAACAUCCUGAUCACUGCUGCGUCCGGUGGCAUCGGCUCGUACGCCGUCCAGCUCGCUAAGCUCGGGAACCACAACGUCACGGCCACCUGCGGCGCGCGCAACCUGGAGCUUGUCGCGGACAUCGGCGCCGACGAGGCGCUCGACUACAAGACCCCGGAAGGCGCGGCACUGAAGAACUCUUCCGGCAAGAAGUACGACUACAUCGUCAACACCACGAACGGCGGCAAGUGA
This 681-nucleotide ribosomal RNA is filed under the name Triticum aestivum (bread wheat). RNAcentral describes it as "partial small subunit ribosomal RNA". The record is from RNAcentral. Lineage: Eukaryota; Viridiplantae; Streptophyta; Magnoliopsida; Poales; Poaceae.